GCGGGUGUAGCUCAAUGGUAGAGCACCAGCUUCCCACGCUGGCGAUGUGGGUUCGAUUCCCAUCACCCGCUCCA
RNAcentral lists this transfer RNA (74 nucleotides) under Halorhodospira neutriphila. RNAcentral describes it as "tRNA-Gly". It matches the Rfam family "tRNA". Rfam says of the family: Transfer RNA (tRNA) molecules are approximately 80 nucleotides in length. Their secondary structure includes four short double-helical elements and three loops (D, anti-codon, and T loops). Lineage: Bacteria; Pseudomonadati; Pseudomonadota; Gammaproteobacteria; Chromatiales; Ectothiorhodospiraceae. The record is from RNAcentral.